Molecule: ribosomal RNA, 626 nt
Filed under: uncultured Tomentella
Lineage: Eukaryota; Fungi; Basidiomycota; Agaricomycetes; Thelephorales; Thelephoraceae
Description: eukaryotic LSU rRNA
Rfam family: 5.8S ribosomal RNA (bases 239-393)
Source: RNAcentral
AAGUCGUAACAAGGUUUCCGUAGGUGAACCUGCGGAAGGAUCAUUACUGAACUGUCAACACGAGUUGUUGCUGGUCCUCAAAUGGGGGCAUGUGCACGCUCUGUUUACAUACCCACUCACACCUGUGCACCCUCUGUAGUUCUGUGGUGUGGGGGACUCUGUCCUCCCACUGUGGUUCUACGUCUUUACACACACACAGUCUCAUAGAAUGUAUGUCGCGUUUAACGCAAUACAAUACAACUUUCAGCAACGGAUCUCUUGGCUCUCGCAUCGAUGAAGAACGCAGCGAAAUGCGAUAAGUAAUGUGAAUUGCAGAAUUCAGUGAAUCAUCGAAUCUUUGAACGCACCUUGCGCCCUUUGGCUAUUCCGAAGGGCAUGCCUGUUUGAGUAUCAUGAACACCUCAACUCUCAUGGUUUGCCAUGAUGAGCUUGGACUUUGGGGGUCUUGCCGGCCUAUGGGUCGGCUCCUCUCAAAUUAAUCAGCUUGCCAGUGUUUGGUGGCAUCACAGGUGUGAUAACUAUCUACGCUUGUGGUUUUCCAUCAGGUAACCUUCAGUGAUGGAGGUUCGCUGGGGCUCAUAAAUGUCUCUCCUCAGUGAGGACAGCUUUUUUGAACGUUUGAUCUC